GGAGAGGUGGCUCAACAGUUAAGAGCACUGGCUGCUCUUACAGAGGGCCUGGGUUCAAUUCCCAGCACCUACU
RNAcentral lists this transfer RNA (73 nucleotides) under Mesocricetus auratus (golden hamster). It matches the Rfam family "tRNA". Rfam says of the family: Transfer RNA (tRNA) molecules are approximately 80 nucleotides in length. Lineage: Eukaryota; Metazoa; Chordata; Mammalia; Rodentia; Cricetidae. The record is from Rfam by way of RNAcentral.